AUCCAGUUGACGAGUCCCAAAUAAGACAAAACACGCGUCCUGUAU
Molecule: non-coding RNA, 45 nt
Filed under: Schistosoma haematobium
Lineage: Eukaryota; Metazoa; Platyhelminthes; Trematoda; Strigeidida; Schistosomatidae
Source: RNAcentral